CCUACGGGAGGCUGCAGUGGGGAAUAUUGCACAAUGGGGGGAACCCUGAUGCAGCGACGCCGCGUGAGUGAAGAAGUAUUUCGGUAUGUAAAGCCCUAUCAGCAGGGAAGAAAAUGACGGUACCUGACUAAGAAGCCCCGGCUAACUACGUGCCAGCAGCCGCGGUAAUACGUAGGGGGCAAGCGUUAUCCGGAUUUACUGGGUGUAAAGGGCGCGUAGACGGUUAUGCAAGUCUGAAGUGAAAGCCGAAGGCUUAACCAUGGGACUGCUGUGGAAACUGUAAAACUGGAGUGCAGGAGAGGUAAGCGGAAUUCCUGGUGUAGCGGUGAAAUGCGUAGAUAUUAGGAGGAACACCAGGGGCGAAGGCGGCUUACUGGACUGUAACUGACGUUGAGGCUCGAAGGCGUGGGGAGCAAACAGGAUUAGAUACCCUAGUAGUC
Molecule: ribosomal RNA, 440 nt
Filed under: uncultured bacterium
Lineage: Bacteria
Description: partial 16S ribosomal RNA
Rfam family: Bacterial small subunit ribosomal RNA
Source: RNAcentral